RNAcentral lists this ribosomal RNA (431 nucleotides) under uncultured bacterium. RNAcentral describes it as "partial 16S ribosomal RNA". It matches the Rfam family "Bacterial small subunit ribosomal RNA", at positions 29 to 507 of the family's 1533-position model. The record is from RNAcentral.
AACGAACGCUGGCGGCAGGCCUAACACAUGCAAGUCGAGCGCCCCGCAAGGGGAGCGGCGGACGGGUGAGUAACGCGUGGGAAUAUGCCCUUUGCUACGGAAUAGUCUCGGGAAACUGGGGGUAAUACCGUAUACGCCCUUUGGGGGAAAGAUUUAUCGGCGAAGGAUUAGCCCGCGUUGGAUUAGGUAGUUGGUGGGGUAAUGGCCUACCAAGCCGACGAACCAUAGCUGGUUUGAGAGGAUGAUCAGCCACACUGGGACUGAGACACGGCCCAGACUCCUACGGGAGGCAGCAGUGGGGAAUCUUAGACAAUGGGGGCAACCCUGAUCUAGCCAUGCCGCGUGAGUGAUGAAGGCCUUAGGGUUGUAAAGCUCUUUCAGCUGGGAAGAUAAUGACGGUACCAGCAGAAGAAGCCCCGGCUAACUCCGUG